RNAcentral lists this ribosomal RNA (451 nucleotides) under uncultured bacterium. RNAcentral describes it as "partial 16S ribosomal RNA". It matches the Rfam family "Bacterial small subunit ribosomal RNA", at positions 28 to 507 of the family's 1533-position model. The record is from RNAcentral.
GAUGAACGCUGGCGGCGUGCCUAACACAUGCAAGUCGAGCGGCAGCGCGGGGUGCUUGCUCCCUGUCGGCGAGCGGCGGACGGCUGAGUAACGCGUGGGAACGUGCCCCAAAGUGAGGAAUAACUGCCCGAAAGGGUAGCUAAUACCGCAUAUUAUCUUCGGAUCAAAGGAUUUAUCCGCUUUGGGAGCGGCUCGCGUCGGAUUAGGUAGUUGGUGAGGUAAUGGCUCACCAAGCCGACGAUCCGUAGCUGGUCUGAGAGGAUGACCAGCCAGACUGGAACUGAGGCACGGUCCAGACUCCUACGGGAGGCAGCAGUAAGGAAUCUUCCACAAUGGGCGAAGGCCUGAUGGAGCAACGCCGCGUGCAGGACGAAGGCCUUCGGGUUGUAAACUGCUUUUAUAAGUGAGGAAUAUGACGGUAACUUAUGGAUAAGGAUCGGCUAACUACGUG